This 432-nucleotide ribosomal RNA is filed under the name uncultured bacterium. RNAcentral's name for it is "partial 16S ribosomal RNA". It matches the Rfam family "Bacterial small subunit ribosomal RNA", at positions 29 to 507 of the family's 1533-position model. The record is from RNAcentral.
ACGAACGCUGGCGGCAUGCCUCACACAUGCAAGUCGAACGAGACCUUCGGGUCUAGUGGCGCACGGGUGCGUAACGCGUGGGAACCUGCCCUUAGGUUCGGAAUAACUCCCCGAAAGGGGUGCUAAUACCGGAUAAUGUCUUCGGACCAAAGAUUUAUCGCCUUUGGAUGGGCCCGCGUUGGAUUAGCUAGUUGGUAGGGUAAAAGCCUACCAAGGCGACGAUCCAUAGCUGGUCUGAGAGGAUGAUCAGCCACACUGGGACUGAGACACGGCCCAGACUCCUACGGGAGGCAGCAGUGGGGAAUAUUGGACAAUGGGCGAAAGCCUGAUCCAGCAAUGCCGCGUGAGUGAUGAAGGCCUUAGGGUUGUAAAGUUCUUUUACCCGGGAUGAUAAUGACAGUACCGGGAGAAUAAGCUCCGGCUAACUCCGUG